This 347-nucleotide unclassified non-coding RNA is filed under the name soil metagenome. Its description in RNAcentral is "partial contains 5.8S ribosomal RNA, internal transcribed spacer 2, and large subunit ribosomal RNA". The stretch from base 1 to 120 matches the Rfam family "5.8S ribosomal RNA", at positions 35 to 154 of the family's 154-position model. The record is from RNAcentral.
GAUGAAGAACGCAGCGAAAUGCGAUAAGUAAUGUGAAUUGCAGAAUUCAGUGAAUCAUCGAGUCUUUGAACGCACAUUGCGCCCCCUGGUAUUCCGGGGGGCAUGCCUGUCCGAGCGUCAUUGCUGCCCUCAAGCACGGCUUGUGUGUUGGGCUUCCGUCCCUGGCAACGGGGACGGGCCCAAAAGGCAGUGGCGGCACCAUGUCUGGUCCUCGAGCGUAUGGGGCUUUGUCACCCGCUCCCGUAGGUCCAGCUGGCAGCUAGCCUCGCAACCAAUCUUUUUAACCAGGUUGACCUCGGAUCAGGUAGGGAUACCCGCUGAACUUAAGCAUAUCAAUAAGCGGAGGA